RNAcentral lists this ribosomal RNA (487 nucleotides) under uncultured bacterium. Its description in RNAcentral is "bacterial SSU rRNA". It matches the Rfam family "Bacterial small subunit ribosomal RNA", at positions 30 to 508 of the family's 1533-position model. The record is from RNAcentral.
ACUGAACGCUGGCGGCAUGCCUAACACAUGCAAGUCGAACGGCAGCGCGGGUAGCAAUACCUGGCGGCGAGUGGCGGACGGGUGAGGAAUACAUCGGAAUCUACCCUGUCGUGGGGGAUAACCAACCGAAAGGUUGGCUAAUACCGCAUACGACCGAGAGGUGAAAGCGGAGGACCGCAAGGCUUCGCGCGAUUGGAUGAGCCGAUGUCGGAUUAGCUAGUUGGCGGGGUAAGAGCCCACCAAGGCGACGAUCCGUAGCUGGUCUGAGAGGAUGAUCAGCCACACUGGGACUGAGACACGGCCCAGACUCCUACGGGAGGCAGCAGUGGGGAAUAUUGGACAAUGGGCGCAAGCCUGAUCCAGCAAUGCCGCGUGUGUGAAGAAGGCCUUCGGGUUGUAAAGCACUUUUAUCGGGAGCGAAAAGCUUGGGAUUAAUACCCUCAAGUGCUGACGGUACCCGAUGAAUAAGCACCGGCUAACUUCGUGC